GCUGGGUGUGGUGGUGUGUGCCUGUAAUCCCAGCUACUUGGGAGGCUGAGGCAGGAGAAUCACUUGAACCCAGGAGGCGGAGGUUGCAGUGAGCCAAGAUCGCACCACUGCACUCCAGCCUGGGUGACAGAGUGAGUCUCUGUCUCAA
RNAcentral lists this non-coding RNA (148 nucleotides) under Gorilla gorilla gorilla (western lowland gorilla). Lineage: Eukaryota; Metazoa; Chordata; Mammalia; Primates; Hominidae. The record is from Rfam by way of RNAcentral.